AGCAGCCGCGGUAAUUCCAGCUCCAAUAGUGUAUAUUAAAGUUGUUGCAGUUAAAAAGCUCGUAGUUGAAUUUCGGGAUCAAAUUGUCGGUCGUGCCUCGGUACGUACUGGCGUUAUUGGUUCCUCCCUUCUGAAGAACCACGAUGUCAUUAAUUUGGUGUCGCGGGGAAUCAGGACUGUUACUUUGAAAAAAUUAGAGUGUUUAAAGCAGGCUCGCGCUUGAAUACAUUAGCAUGGAAUAAUGAAAUAGGACGUUUGAUUCUAUUUUGUUGGUUUCUAGGAUCGACGUAAUGAUUAAUAGGGAUAGUUGGGGGCAUUAGUAUUCAAUUGUCAGAGGUGAAAUUCUUGGAUUUAUUGAAGACUAACUACUGCGAAAGCAUUUGCCAAGGAUGUUUUCAUUAAUCAAGAACGAAAGUUAGGGGAUCGAAGACGAUCAGAUACCGUCGUAGUCUUAACCAUAAACUAUGCCGACUGGGGAUCGGAUGAUGUAAUUUUUAAUGACUCAUUCGGCGCCUUACGG
Molecule: ribosomal RNA, 520 nt
Filed under: uncultured Glomus
Lineage: Eukaryota; Fungi; Glomeromycota; Glomeromycetes; Glomerales; Glomeraceae
Description: SSU rRNA
Rfam family: Eukaryotic small subunit ribosomal RNA
Source: RNAcentral